AGAUUACAGACGCGCACGCACGCCACCGCAUCACCACCCACGCGCACUUAUGCACUCGUCUGCCGUCCUUCGCCUUCUUCUUCCCUCACGGAUUUGCGUCAGCGCCGCCCGUCUGCGGUGCCUCUCAAGCCGAUGGUGCAGAGGAGCGCACUUCUGCAGCUGGCGUGUCUUGUAGCAGUGCUGCACUCCAGCUGCCUGAGCGCUCUACUGAGCUCGACUAUAGCCGCUGCUGCUCCUGCAGCUGCGCGCGAUACCGCCAUUAGCAGCAGGCACAACACCCCGAUAACAGCGGCUUCUCCUUCCCCGCUCUUUACUGUCUUCGGGUACUUGCCCGAGUACCGUCGGGGCACGUUCAACUACGAGGCCUUCUUCAAAGCAGGGUUAACGCAUCUUAUCUUUUUCAGUGCCGAGGUGGACCCCGCAACGUUGCGUCUCAUCCACGUAGAGGACCGACUGCCAUCGGGCGACGAGUGGGCCCGCAUCCGCCGGCUGGCAGACCUGCACGGUGUGAAACUGAUGCUCUGCAUCGGCGGUGGUGGCCGCAGCGCCGGGUUUGCGGACCUCGUUGGGGACACGGUGCAGCGACAAGCGUUCAUAGAGGAGGUGAACGCGGUGCUGCUGGCGCGAAAACUCGACGGCAUAGACUUCAACUGGGAGUACCCGCAAACAAUGACGGAGUGGCUGAACUUUGGCCGCUUCCUGAUGGAGCUCCGGUCUUCCCUGGGCUAUGCGGCUGCUGCAGGCGGCGAACACGCAGCUGGACCGAUUGGUGAGCGGCGCCACCGCACCCGAGUCCGGGGCGCUGCCUUGUCCAUGGCCCUCCAUCCCCACCCAUCUAUGGCAGCCGUACUGCAGUCCGCUCGUGUGCUUCACUCGCUCGACUAUGUACACUUGAUGGCGUACGACCACGUUGUCGGGACCGGACCACACAGCUCGGUCGAGUACGCUGCCUCGGUGCUCAGCGAGGAGACAAUCGGGCUCUUUAACGAGGCUGCAUACAACAGGCGCCUUGGGCAGAUGCACCGGCGGCCGCGCACCGAGCAGGACCACCGCCGCAAGCUCACUCUUGGUAUCCCCUUCUACGGCCGUCAUCGAGAGGACAGGCGACUGCAGCCUGAGGCGUACGACCGCCUCUGGCUCUUCAUCCAAGAAUGGGCUAGCAAGAACCACCCAACAUGGGUCGAGGGAGGAGCGGAGCUGCGGGCAUUGAGCGAGUAUGACGGGUACAGUUUCACCGGCUACGACGAUGUGAAGCGCAAGAUGCAACUGACACGCGCUGCUAACUUGUCUGGGAUAAUGAUCUGGGAGCUGGGCCAGGAUGUGCCACCGGGGACUUCGCCGAUGUCGCUCAUGACUGCCGUUCACGAGCAGCUGGCCGACUGGGGUUUGCUGACUGACGGCGGGCGUGGUAGUGGUGGCAACGUGAAUAGCGAUAAUGCAUACGAUCGUCCGCAACCACCGCCGCAGCAUUCAUCUCCAGAUGUGGCUGAGGACGGCGAUCUAUGAAAGCCAGAGGGACACAAGCGUGUCCUGCAUCCCAUAGCACACGCAGGCAACGCCGUGCUUCAACGCUUUUCUGCUGUUGCAUCAGCGCCUCUCACACUACACACACACACUACACACACACACACACACACACACACACACACAAACACAAACACAAACACAAGUGAGCCCAUCGCCAGCGGUCCCGAGUGCAUAUUACCUGAGAAG
This 1713-nucleotide unclassified non-coding RNA is filed under the name Leishmania donovani. RNAcentral describes it as "gene:LdHU3.16.0950(CDS-product:chitinase)". The record is from RNAcentral. Lineage: Eukaryota; Euglenozoa; Kinetoplastea; Trypanosomatida; Trypanosomatidae.